ACGUAGGUGGCAAGCGUUGUCCGGAAUUACUGGGUGUAAAGGGAGCGUAGGCGGGAAGAUAAGUUGGACGUCUAAUCUAUCGGCUCAACCGAUAGUCGCGUUCAAAACUGUUUUUCUUGAGUGAAGUAGAGGUAAGCGGAAUUCCUAGUGUAGCGGUGAAAUGCGUAAAUAUUAGGAGGAACACCAGUGGCGAAGGCGGCUUACUGGGCUUUAACUGACGCUGAGGCUCGAAAGCGUGGGUAGCAAACAG
Molecule: ribosomal RNA, 250 nt
Filed under: uncultured bacterium
Lineage: Bacteria
Description: partial 16S ribosomal RNA
Rfam family: Bacterial small subunit ribosomal RNA
Source: RNAcentral